Molecule: transfer RNA, 73 nt
Organism: Cavia porcellus (domestic guinea pig)
Lineage: Eukaryota; Metazoa; Chordata; Mammalia; Rodentia; Caviidae
Rfam family: tRNA
About the family: Transfer RNA (tRNA) molecules are approximately 80 nucleotides in length. Their secondary structure includes four short double-helical elements and three loops (D, anti-codon, and T loops). Further hydrogen bonds mediate the characteristic L-shaped molecular structure. tRNAs have two regions of fundamental functional importance: the anti-codon, which is responsible for specific mRNA codon recognition, and the 3' end, to which the tRNAs corresponding amino acid is attached (by aminoacyl-tRNA synthetases). tRNAs cope with the degeneracy of the genetic code in two manners: having more than one tRNA (with a specific anti-codon) for a particular amino acid; and 'wobble' base-pairing, i.e. permitting non-standard base-pairing at the 3rd anti-codon position.
Source: Rfam
GGGGAUUUAGCUCAGUGGCCUAAGCACCUGCAUUGCAAGCAGGCAGUUGUGGGUUCGAUCCCUGUUAUCGAUA